Molecule: ribosomal RNA, 879 nt
Filed under: Triticum aestivum (bread wheat)
Lineage: Eukaryota; Viridiplantae; Streptophyta; Magnoliopsida; Poales; Poaceae
Description: partial small subunit ribosomal RNA
Source: RNAcentral
AUGGCGCGCGUCUCCAAUUCCAAGAAGCGCAUGCUCCACACCAACAGCAGCAGCAACAGCCAAAACAAAAAGGAGGACGCGGCCACCGCCGCGGGGAGCGCCGACGGCCGCCCCGUCCGCGUCUACGCCGACGGCAUCUUCGACCUCUUCCACUUCGGCCACGCCCGCGCCCUCGAGCAGGCCAAGCUGCUGUUCCCCAACACGUACCUGCUGGUGGGAUGCUGCAACGACGACCUCACGCGGCGCUACAAGGGCAAGACCGUCAUGAACCAGGAGGAGCGAUACGAGUCCCUGCGCCACUGCAAGUGGGUUGAUGAGGUCAUUCCUGAUGCUCCCUGGGUUCUCACGCCAGAAUUCAUUGAGACGCAUCAGAUUGACUAUGUCGCACAUGAUGCUUUGCCUUAUGCUGAUACCAGCGGUGCUGCAAAUGACGUCUAUGAGUUUGUCAAGAAGAUUGGAAAAUUCAAGGAAACAAAACGGACUGAUGGAGUAUCGACAUCGGACCUCAUAAUGAGGAUAGUCAAGGACUACAACCAGUAUGUCAUGAGGAAUUUAGCACGAGGUUACUCAAGGAAAGAUAUGGGCGUGAGCUAUGUUAAGGAGAAACAACUGCAAGUGAAUAUGAAGAUCAAUAAACUACGGGAGACUGUGAAGGCACAGCAAGAAAAGUUGCAAACGGUGGCGAAGACGGCUGGGAUAAACCACGAAGAGUGGCUGGCGAACGCGGAUCGUUGGGUUGCCGGCUUCCUGGAGAAGUUCGAGGAGCACUGCCACGUCAUGGAGACUGCCAUCAAGGACCGGAUACAGGAGAGGCUGGGGAGGCAGGCGGGCAAAGGCAUUGCCGGCGGUCUCAUGCAGCAGCCGGUGGCGGCGGCCUGA